UGGGGAAUCUUCCGCAAUGGACGAAAGUCUGACGGAGCAACGCCGCGUGAGUGAAGACGGCCUUCGGGCUGUAAAGCUCUGUGAUCCGGGACGAAAGAGCCUGAGGUAAAUAGCCUAAGGAAGUGACGGUACCGGAAAAGCAAGCCACGGCUAACUACGUGCCAGCAGCCGCGGUAAUACGUAGGUGGCAAGCGUUGUCCGGAAUUAUUGGGCGUAAAGCGCGCGCAGGCGGCUUACUAAGUCCAUCUUAAAAGUGCGGGGCUUAACCCCGUGAUGGGAUGGAAACUGGAAAGCUGGAGUAUCGGAGAGGAAAGUGGAAUUCCUAGUGUAGCGGUGAAAUGCGUAGAGAUUAGGAAGAACACCGGUGGCGAAGGCGACUUUCUGGACGAAAACUGACGCUGAGGCGCGAAAGCGUGGGGAGCAAACAGG
This 429-nucleotide ribosomal RNA is filed under the name Fusobacteriota bacterium. RNAcentral describes it as "Fusobacteria bacterium partial 16S ribosomal RNA". It matches the Rfam family "Bacterial small subunit ribosomal RNA", at positions 355 to 776 of the family's 1533-position model. The record is from RNAcentral. Lineage: Bacteria; Fusobacteriati; Fusobacteriota.